UCCUACGGGAGGCAGCAGUGGGGAAUCUUAGACAAUGGGGGCAACCCUGAUCUAGCCAUGCCGCGUGAGUGAUGAAGGCCUUAGGGUCGUAAAGCUCUUUCGCCUGUGAUGAUAAUGACAGUAGCAGGUAAAGAAACCCCGGCUAACUCCGUGCCAGCAGCCGCGGUAAUACGGAGGGGGUUAGCGUUGUUCGGAAUUACUGGGCGUAAAGCGCGCGUAGGCGGAUUAGAAAGUUGGGGGUGAAAUCCCGGGGCUCAACCUCGGAACUGCCUCCAAAACUGCUAGUCUAGAGUUCGAGAGAGGUGAGUGGAAUUCCGAGUGUAGAGGUGAAAUUCGUAGAUAUUCGGAGGAACACCAGUGGCGAAGGCGGCUCACUGGCUCGAUACUGACGCUGAGGUGCGAAAGUGUGGGGAGCAAACAGGAUUAGAGACCCUGGUAGUCCACACCGUAAACGAUGA
RNAcentral lists this ribosomal RNA (458 nucleotides) under uncultured bacterium. RNAcentral's name for it is "bacterial SSU rRNA". It matches the Rfam family "Bacterial small subunit ribosomal RNA", at positions 337 to 812 of the family's 1533-position model. The record is from RNAcentral.